GUACGCUGGCGGCACGCUUAACACAUGCAAGUCGAACGCAGUAGCAAUACUGAGUGGCAGACGGGUGAGUAUAAUGUGGGAAUCUGCCUUUUGGUUCGGAAUAACUCGGGGAAACCUGAGCUAAUACCGGAUAAGCCCUUACGGGGAAAGAUUUAUCGCCAAAAGAUGAGCCCGCACUUGAUUAGCUUGUUGGUGAGGUAAAAGCUCACCAAGGCAACAAUCAAUAGCUGUUCUUAGAGGAAGACCAGCCACAUUGGGACUGAGACACGGCCCAGACUCCUACGGGAGGCAGCAGUGGGGAAUCUUGCACAAUGGGGGAAACCCUGAUGCAGCGAUGCCGCGUGAGUGAAGAAGGCCUUUGGGUUGUAAAACUCUUUCGUCGGGGAAGAAAAUGACUGUACCCGAAUAAGAAGGUCCGGC
Molecule: ribosomal RNA, 420 nt
Filed under: uncultured bacterium
Lineage: Bacteria
Description: bacterial SSU rRNA
Rfam family: Bacterial small subunit ribosomal RNA
Source: RNAcentral